RNAcentral lists this transfer RNA (67 nucleotides) under Marmota monax (woodchuck). RNAcentral's name for it is "tRNA.Ala". Lineage: Eukaryota; Metazoa; Chordata; Mammalia; Rodentia; Sciuridae. The record is from RNAcentral.
UAUGUAGCACAGUGGUAGGGUGCUUGCCUAGCAAGUGUGAGGCCCUGGGUGUGAUCCCCAGCACUAG